GUGCCUUUUGUAGAAUGAACCGGCGAGUUACGAUCCCGUGCGAGGUUAAGCUGAAGAGGCGGAGCCGCAGCGAAAGCGAGUCUGAAUAGGGCGUUUAGUACGUGGUCGUAGACCCGAAACCAGGUGAUCUACCCAUGUCCAGGGUGAAGUUCAGGUAACACUGAAUGGAGGCCCGAACCCACGCACGUUGAAAAGUGCGGGGAUGAGGUGUGGGUAGCGGAGAAAUUCCAAUCGAACCUGGAGAUAGCUGGUUCUCCCCGAAAUAGCUUUAGGGCUAGCCUUAAGUGUAAGAGUCUUGGAGGUAGAGCACUGAUUGGACUAGGGGUCCUCAUCGGAUUACCGAAUUCAGUCAAACUCCGAAUGCCAAUGACUUAUCCUUAGGAGUCAGACUGCGAGUGAUAAGAUCCGUAGUCAAAAGGGAAACAGCCCAGACCGCCAGCUAAGGUCCCAAAGUGUGUAUUAAGUGGAAAAGGAUGUGGAGUUGCUUAGACAACUAGGAUGUUGGCUUAGAAGCAGCCACCAUUUAAAGAGUGCGUAAUAGCUCACUAGUCGAGUGACUCUGCGCCGAAAAUGUACCGGGGCUAAAUACACCACCGAAGCUGCGGAUUGAUACCAAUGGUAUCAGUGGUAGGGGAGCGUUCUAAGGACAGUGAAGUCAGACCGGAAGGACUGGUGGAGUGCUUAGAAGUGAGAAUGCCGGUAUGAGUAGCGAAAGACGGGUGAGAAUCCCGUCCACCGAAUGCCUAAGGUUUCCUGAGGAAGGCUCGUCCGCUCAGGGUUAGUCAGGACCUAAGCCGAGGCCGACAGGCGUAGGCGAUGGACAACAGGUUGAUAUUCCUGUACCACCUCUUUAUCGUUUGAGCAAUGGAGGGACGCAGAAGGAUAGAAGAAGCGUGCGAUUGGUUGUGCACGUCCAAGCAGUUAGGCUGAUAAGUAGGCAAAUCCGCUUAUCGUGAAGGCUGAGCUGUGAUGGGGAAGCUCCUUAUGGAGCGAAGUCUUUGAUUCCCCGCUGCCAAGAAAAGCUUCUAGCGAGAUAAAAGGUGCCUGUACCGCAAACCGACACAGGUAGGCGAGGAGAGAAUCCUAAGGUGUGCGAGAGAACUCUGGUUAAGGAACUCGGCAAAAUGACCCCGUAACUUCGGGAGAAGGGGUGCUUUCUUAACGGAAAGCCGCAGUGAAUAGGCCCAAGCGACUGUUUAGCAAAAACACAGCUCUCUGCGAAGCCGUAAGGCGAAGUAUAGGGGGUGACACCUGCCCGGUGCUGGAAGGUUAAGGAGAGGGGUUAGCGUAAGCGAAGCUCUGAACUGAAGCCCCAGUAAACGGCGGCCGUAACUAUAACGGUCCUAAGGUAGCGAAAUUCCUUGUCGGGUAAGUUCCGACCCGCACGAAAGGUGUAACGAUUUGGGCACUGUCUCAACCAGAGACUCGGUGAAAUUAUAGUACCUGUGAAGAUGCAGG
RNAcentral lists this ribosomal RNA (1458 nucleotides) under Bacillus anthracis (anthrax bacterium). RNAcentral's name for it is "partial 23S ribosomal RNA". It matches the Rfam family "Bacterial large subunit ribosomal RNA", at positions 601 to 2065 of the family's 2925-position model. The record is from RNAcentral. Lineage: Bacteria; Bacillati; Bacillota; Bacilli; Caryophanales; Bacillaceae.